Long non-coding RNA from Oxyura jamaicensis (ruddy duck), 597 nucleotides. RefSeq lists it as uncharacterized. NCBI's taxonomy places the organism in Eukaryota, Metazoa, Chordata, Aves, Anseriformes, Anatidae. The record is from RefSeq and is a predicted model, not a curated record. The transcript has 3 exons.
GGCAGCCAAAACAGACCUUAACUCUAGCUCUAAUGAAGGCCCUGCUGCCUGCUGCAGCUAAUGACAAUGCAUAAUAAAUUAGAGCUUCCCUAGAAAGGUGCAUCAGGGCUUGUGCUUCGGUAAAUGAUGAUCUAUAUGCACUAACUUACUAUUUCAGUCUUUAGGUCUGCCAAGCCAGGGACAUCCUGGGAAUAUGUUCUCACUAAAUAAUGGGCUCCUUCCUGCUCAGAGCGGCGCUGCUCACCUGGCUUCUCUCGAGGCACUGAAGCUCCUGCUGCUCCUGCUGGGCGAGGAGCUCCUCCACCUUCUUCUCCUCGGUGCCCUUGGGCCAGUCACCUCAGCUGAACCUCGCCGUGGGACAGCAGAGCCUGGUGGCAGUUGGGGCAGCCGGUCCUGCCAGCUGGAGAUGCCCACGUCCCUGUGCCUGGAGCACCACCCUGCAACAGCAGCACCUGGACGGGGCACGGGGCCAAGCAGCCCAUGUGUGGGAGCUUCGAGGGACCCCAUCCUGCCUGGUGGCCUGGCGCAAGUGAGCUGGGAUACAACUGAACAAGUUCUCCAUAUUGGUCCCGGAGAAGAUUCGACUGCAGCCUCCAG